UAGCCAUAGUGCAGGGUGCCUAGAUACGAAGGGCGGGCUCCGGAUGGUCAAGCUCUGUCGGGAGGGAACACCAUUCAGGAUAGGAAAUGAUCUUGAACUGACGGUACCUUACCAGAAAGCCACGGCUAACUACGUGCCAGCAGCCGCGGUAAUACGUAGGUGGCAAGCGUUAUCCGGAAUUAUUGGGCGUAAAGGGUGCGUAGGCGGUUUAUUAAGUCUAUGGUGAAAGUGCGGGGCUCAACCCCGUAUGGCCAUANAAACUGGUAGACUUGAGUGCAGGAGAGGGCAAUGGAAUUCCAUGUGUAGCGGUAAAAUGCGUAGAUAUAUGGAGGAACACCAGUGGCGAAGGCGGUUGCCUGGCCUGUAACUGACGCUGAAGCACGAAAGCGUGGGGAGCAAAUAGGAUUAGAUACCCUAGUAGUCCACGCCGUAAACGAUGAAUACUAAGUGUUGGAGAAAUUCAGUGCUGCAGUUAACGCAAUAAGUAUUCCGCCUGGGGAGUAUGCACGCAAGUGUGAAACUCAAA
RNAcentral lists this ribosomal RNA (526 nucleotides) under uncultured prokaryote. Its description in RNAcentral is "bacterial SSU rRNA". It matches the Rfam family "Bacterial small subunit ribosomal RNA", at positions 375 to 905 of the family's 1533-position model. The record is from RNAcentral.